Equus asinus (donkey) is the source of this 3623-nucleotide long non-coding RNA. NCBI's taxonomy places the organism in Eukaryota, Metazoa, Chordata, Mammalia, Perissodactyla, Equidae. The record is from Ensembl.
UCACAUAGGCUGGGCUGAGGCCAGAGAUCCCGGGGUGAGCACCUGGUGCUCCUGACACACAGCAAGCUCUCACCAGUGUGUUAUUUCCCCACAUCGACCCGAGGCCUGUUCCCCAGGGUCUGAAGGGCAAGUUUCCUUGUGAUCACUCCAGGUGGGGAGUGUGCACCAUCCCUGUGAUCAAUGGAAAGCACUUGUGUUAAUUUAUAAACCUGGGCACAGAGCAGCAGGAGACAUGGAGCGGUUCUGUGUAAAGUCCACAAGUGAUUCUGAAUAUUCGUUUAUUUAAUCUUUUCUCAAUUUAUUUCUACCACGUAUACCUCUAAAUAUGUGUCCUUUCUUAAAUUUAUACAGUGCUAACAGAUGUUUUAAAAUUUAUGUUUCUGAGCAUUUACUGAAUCAAGCAGCCAUGUGCCCCCCGCCCAGUCUACUGACCUGAGCGCAGGUCUACCGUGUUGAGCAGCACACUCUCUGAGCCUCAGAUCCCCUGUUUAGAGAUGGUGAACUCUCCACUCAGAGGUGAGAACACUCUGCAGAAACGCUCUAGCUACGUUCAUUAGUUUUGGAAAACCACAGAAGAAAUGCCCCUGAGAGCCCAGGGGAGAGAGAAAUGGACGACGAAGCUAGAAGGAAAUUCCACAUCUCUGAGAUGAAGAGAAGACACUAAGGCACAAAUAAAUACAUAAAUAAGCGUUAUGAUCCCUAAGAUUGGAAAUGAUGUGAAGAGUAAACACAUCAGAACCAUUAAAGAGAUGUGCCAGAUGCAAAUAAGAAAGAAGCCCCAACCUUGGCAGAAGAGGAAGUUCAAGGAAACGUGGGCUCCGGCUCUGAGCCCGGGAACGCAGGAUCACAGGGCGGCAGCUGAACCUGUGCAGGAGGCGAGCUCAGCGCGGUCGUGAAGGCACCUUCGCCUGCUGUCCCGACUCCUGUCCUAUGACAAGAGCUGCUCUGACUAACGCACACACAGGCCUGCAGCCGUCACACACCACCCCGCGUCUCAGUGGCUUAAAACCACUGUGCGUUUCUCACCCGCGCCUCACGUCCCUCCUGGACUGACAGCGGUGCUCCGCUCGGCACGGGCUCCAGGACGCAGGCUGCUGCGGCCAGUCACCACGCCACUGGGAGGGGGGUGCGGAGGAGCUGGACAAGGAAGUCAGAAGUGCCUCGGGCCGCCUCGAGUCAGCAACCCCAUCGUCCCAGGCGGUGAGACCAACUCCAAGACCCGGGCUCGCCCUGCACUGUGAGGCCCAGAGGAGGGGGCCUCAGGGGCAGACAGGGUCUGGGAGGGCUCCCCAGGGGUCUCAGGGGAGGACCGCCUUGCAGGUAAAGGGGAGCUGGGGGAAGGCCCAGCCUCCGACGUUUCUGGAGGUGCGGAGGUCUCAGUGCCCCGCAGGGCUCAGCCUGUGCCUUGGGUUCCUGCUUCUCCGCUGCUGGUGUGGAUUCUCCCCAGCAGCACCGAGGGGGGACCGCAGGGUCGUGGGGUCGAGGGGGGUGACAGGACGGACCUGUCACCACGGGAGUGCGCUCGCCUCCUCUGGACCCAGGACCGUGAGGCGGUUGUGACCCCAUCUCAGGCCUUCCUUCUGGGAGACGUCCCGCCAGUCUCUCCUUCUGAUUCCAGAGCUUUGCGUGUCAUUAGGCAGCAUCCCUGGUUUCCAGAUCGAGUGGAGAAGCACAGGCUGUCUGACACCUCACGAAGUCUGUGGAUGACUCACCAGCUUCGGAGUUCACAGAGCAGGUUAAAAUUUCAAAUUCCCUCAGAGCCUCCAGACGUUCUGGAGCUCAGUAUGUUUUAUCUUCAAUCAACGCACAAACCCCGCAUCUUCACGCGGAGACACUCAGGCCUCAGGCUUCCAACUACGAAAGCACCACCUUGAGGAGGACGUCACGGUGGACCCGGAGAGGCGCUGGCCCGUGGCUGGGCUGUGGGGAGACUGGUGGGAAUCCACGGGACAAGGGGCGGGAUGGCCAAGCUCUGCCCGGGACAGUCCGGGUGGCCUUAGUCCGCGGGUCUCCAGCUCUGUCCAGGACUGUCCGGGUGGCCUCAGUCCCGUGGGUCUCAUGCUCUGGCUGAGGUCGGCGGGUCUGGAAGCCGCAGGUCCAGGACCGGAAGUCAGGAGGAAAGGCCACAGGCCACGUCCCCGCCUCUCCUCCCGUCAGGGUCUCUGUUUGGGGCAGCCGGGGCCUCGGGACAGUGACCUAGACUCCCUGUAGGACACCGGGAGUGGCCUCCAGCAUCCCCCUCUUCUUCCAGGAGCCCCCAGCUUUCAUCAGGAAUCCGCCAUCCCCCCAUCCCACCCAGACCAGUGAUCCUGGAUGGGCUCCCUUGGCUCCAGGGGGCGCUGUGAUCUCGUCAGUUCAAGCGAAGGUGGGCCCUGGCUGCAGUGAUUGGUUCAGGGAUGUCACAUGACCUGGGUGUGUCCAAUCAGAGUGAAGGUCUGGACUUGCCUGCCAGCCAACAGGAAAGGUUCUUACACUAUCCACUGGCUGUGUCCUGACUGCCGGGAUUGGUUCAGGGACGUCAUAUGACCUCCGCCUGUCCAAUCAGAGUGAGUGUCAGGAGCAGCCAGGCUAACAGGAAAGCCUUGGCCGUGAGAGGAGGUGAGGACGGCGCUCCGCCACCAUCUUGUCGCCGUCGAGGGGCCUAGAGGUGUCAGAUGAGAGAGAUGGGGUCCCGUUCAUGAAGCCAGACGGCCGAGGUGCAAACCAGAGUCCGUGACGUCGUGGAGCCCUGGAUCUGGGGUCCCGAGGGGCCUGCCCACCGCUGCCCCGGCCCGCGGAGCGGACGCAGCCGUCUCUCAGCCGGUGGGCGGCCGAGGGCCUGUCGUCGCCGCGAGCUACGCCUGGUCGGAGGGCGGCUUGGCCUCGAGAGCAGCCCCGCCGAGGCCCGGCCCCAGAAGACAGGGCAGGGCGGUGAGGCGGGCGGUGGGUACGGACGUCGCGGCGGCUCCUGCGGUCCCCGCGACCCAGGACGGCCCGAGGCCGGCGUGUCCGAGUCUCCGCCGGCCCACCUCUCUGCCCUCGGCCCACGGCGGCAGCGUGUGACGGGGCCGCUCCCGGACAGUCCCGGGGAGCUGGUGGGAGGACCACCCGACGCCGCAGGAAGUGGAUCCGGUCAGCAAGACGCGUGACACGAUGCAACCAAGACCCGGAAACUCUCCUCUUGAACGUCUCCCUACUUGACGGAGAAAUGGACCAUGUUGCAAGCUCCCAUUAGCACCUGCAAUUACCGCUUGCCCACACCUUCACUUUUGAAAUUAUAGCACAUAUUCGUCUUAUUACUCUGUGUACAUUCUUGAUUCUCAAAUUAUUCUGCAGAAACUCCCCAGCCUAUAAUUUUCCUGCCCCACUAUUCUCUGUUAAUGAUCACCCACAAUUGCGGUACAAUGUCGGAUUAAAGUCAUAAAGAGCAGACUCGUUGUGAGCUGGAUCCUGGAUGAGCCGUUCAGUUAAUUGAUGGAGCAGCCUCCGGGAACACCUCUCAGGACCUGUGUCUCAUUUUAGGGGGAGGUUCAGCCAGGCUGCAGGAUGUGCCAUGUUGGGAACUGAAAAUUCCCAUGGACAUCCCCAAAGGGCCUCUCCAAGGAUGGUUCUGGAUGUGAGGAACUCCCAGCCCCUUUGCCCAG